UUCCGGUUGAUCCUGCCGGAGGACAUUGCUAUUGGGAUUCGAUUUAGCCAUGCUAGUCGAGCGAGUUUAGACUCGCGGCGAAUAGCUCAGUAACACGUGGCCAAGCUCCCCUUCAGUCAGCGAUACCCUCGGGAAACUGAGGUUAACAGCUGAUACAAAACGCCAGCUGGAAUGCGGCGUUUCAGAAAGACAUCGCUGAAGGAUGCGGCUGCGGCCGAUUAGGUAGACGGUGGAGUAACGGCCCACCGUGCCAGUAAUCGGUACGGGUGAUGAGAGUCAGAGCCCGGAGACGGAAUCUGAGACAAGAUUCCGGGCCCUACGGGGCGCAGCAGGCGCGAAACCUUUACACUGCACGGAAGUGCGAUAGGGGAAUCCCAAGUGCGAGGGCAUAUUAGCCCUCGCUUUUCUCGACUGUAAGGUGGUCGACGAAUAAGAGCUGGGCAAGACCGGUGCCAGCCGCCGCGGUAAUACCGGCAGCUCAAGUGAUGUCCCAUGUUAUUGGGCCUAAAGCGUCCGUAGCUGGCCGACCAAGUCUACCGGGAAAUCCACCCGCCCAACGGGUGGGCGUCCGGUAGAAACUGGCCGGCUUGGAACCGGAAGGCUCAGAGAGUACGUCCGGGGUAGGAGUGAAAUCCUGUAAUCCCGGACGGACUACCGAUGGCGAAAGCACUCUGAGAAGACGGCUUCGACAGUGAGGGACGAAAGCUCGGGUCUCAAACCGGAUUAGAUACCCGGGUAGUC
RNAcentral lists this ribosomal RNA (741 nucleotides) under uncultured archaeon. RNAcentral describes it as "bacterial SSU rRNA". It matches the Rfam family "Archaeal small subunit ribosomal RNA", at positions 1 to 746 of the family's 1478-position model. The record is from RNAcentral.